RNAcentral lists this long non-coding RNA (500 nucleotides) under Chrysemys picta bellii (western painted turtle). RNAcentral describes it as "lncRNA (ENSCPBG00000027987.1)". Lineage: Eukaryota; Metazoa; Chordata; Testudines; Emydidae. The record is from RNAcentral.
AUGAGAGUAUCCCUCCCACUAACCACCCAUGAGUCUCUAACGAAGGAUGCAAUGUGUCUUCCACCCAGUGAUCCAGUACUAAAGAAAGUGCCUGUCUCAAGCCAGGAACUGGUAACUUUGACUGCAAGCUGGAUUUGAAGGUGUGAUCGAUCUGCCAGAGGUCCUUGUAACAUGUGCAUGGUUUCCUGACCUGGAAUGAAUUGGACAAUGGAUCCAAAGAUAACCGAACUCCUUUAGGCUUGGAGGUUGGUAUGUGGGAUGGGGAGGAAUGUAGUAGAAAAGCAAUGGAUUUGUUUUAAGUGUUUGGUGUUUGAUAUGUGGUAGAUUGGCAGUGAAUUCCUGUACAAAACUUUGUUCUAUCAUGUGGAUUUUUCAUGUCACACUUGGUGCAAUGUCAGGAUUUGUUUAAUUAGAAGGCAUAAUUUAUUGAGUAAGAAACUGGAGCUGUCUGCUCCCAGGUUGCAAAUAAAACAAAAGAGAGGCUAGAAAUAGAAAAUAAA